Molecule: ribosomal RNA, 253 nt
Filed under: uncultured bacterium
Lineage: Bacteria
Description: partial 16S ribosomal RNA
Rfam family: Bacterial small subunit ribosomal RNA
Source: RNAcentral
UACGAAGGGGGCUAGCGUUGCUCGGAAUCACUGGGCGUAAAGCGCACGUAGGCGGAUUUCUAAGUCAGGGGUGAAAUCCUGGAGCUCAACUCCAGAACUGCCUUUGAUACUGGGAAUCUCGAGUCCGGGAGAGGUGAGUGGAACUGCGAGUGUAGAGGUGAAAUUCGUAGAUAUUCGCAAGAACACCAGUGGCGAAGGCGGCUCACUGGCCCGGUACUGACGCUGAGGUGCGAAAGCGUGGGGAGCAAACCGG